UGAGGAAUAUUGGUCAAUGGGCGGAAGCCUGAACCAGCCAAGUCGCGUGAGGGAAGACGGUCCUAUGGAUUGUAAACCUCUUUUGCAGGGAGCAAGACGCGGUACGUGUACCGUGCUGGAGAGUACCCGGAGAAAAGCAUCGGCUAACUCCGUGCCAGCAGCCGCGGUAAUACGGAGGAUGCGAGCGUUAUCCGGAUUUAUUGGGUUUAAAGGGUGCGUAGGCGGACUGGUAAGUCAGCGGUAAAAAUGCGGUGCUCAACGCCGUAGUGCCGUUGAAAACUGCCGGUCUUGAGUGAGCGAGAAGUAUGCGGAAUGCGUGGUGUAGCGGUGAAAUGCAUAGAUAUCACGCAGAACUCCGAUUGCGAAGGCAGCAUACCGGCGCUCAACUGACGCUGAGGCACGAAAGCGUGGGGAUCGAACAGGAUUAGAUACC
Molecule: ribosomal RNA, 433 nt
Filed under: uncultured bacterium
Lineage: Bacteria
Description: bacterial SSU rRNA
Rfam family: Bacterial small subunit ribosomal RNA
Source: RNAcentral